Bifiguratus adelaidae is the source of this 93-nucleotide non-coding RNA. Lineage: Eukaryota; Fungi; Mucoromycota; Endogonomycetes; Endogonales. The record is from the annotation of a GenBank genome assembly.
GACAGUAUGCCGCAGUGGUCCACCGGGCCAGACUUGAAUUAUCGAGCUAUCUGGUAGGCUUUGCCUUCGCAGGUUCAAAUCCUGCUGCUGUCG